AACGAACGCUGGCGGCAUGCCUAACACAUGCAAGUCGAACGAGACCUUCGGGUCUAGUGGCGCACGGGUGCGUAACGCGGCGGAACCUGCCCUUAGGUUCGGAAUAACUCCCCGUAAGGGGUGCUAAUACCGGAUAAUGUCCGCGGACAAAAGAUUUAUCGUCUUUGGAUGGGCCGGCGUUGGUUUAGCUAGUUGGUAGGGGAAAAGCCUACCAAGGCGUAGAUACAUAGCUGGUCUGAGAGGAUGAUAAGCCACACUGGGACUGAGACACGGCCCAGACUCCUACGGGAGGCAGCAGUGGGUGAUAUUGGACAAUGGGGUAAAGCCUGAACCACCAAUGGCGCGUGAGUGAUGAAGGCCUUAAGGUUAUAAAGCUCUUUUACCCGGGAUGAUAAUGACAGUACCGGGAGAAUAAGCUCCGGCUAACUCCGUG
This 433-nucleotide ribosomal RNA is filed under the name uncultured bacterium. Its description in RNAcentral is "partial 16S ribosomal RNA". It matches the Rfam family "Bacterial small subunit ribosomal RNA", at positions 29 to 507 of the family's 1533-position model. The record is from RNAcentral.